UACGUAGGUGGCAAGCGUUUGUCCGGAUUUAUUGGGUUUAAAGGGUGCGUAGGCGGCUUGAUAAGUCAGUGGUGAAAGCCGAUCGCUUAACGAUCGAACUGCCAUUGAUACUGCCAGGCUUGAGUAUAGUUGAGGUAGGCGGAAUUGACAGUGUAGCGGUGAAAUGCAUAGAUAUUGUCAAGAACACCAAAUUUGCGAAGGCAGCUUACUAAAAGUA
RNAcentral lists this ribosomal RNA (217 nucleotides) under uncultured bacterium. RNAcentral's name for it is "partial 16S ribosomal RNA". It matches the Rfam family "Bacterial small subunit ribosomal RNA", at positions 524 to 736 of the family's 1533-position model. The record is from RNAcentral.